CAAGAUGAGAUUUCUUUUAAGGGUCGUAGGAGAUGACUACGUUGAUAGGCUAUAGAUGUAAAGGCAGUAAUGUCAUAGUCGAGUAGUACUAAUAACCCGUAAGCUUAUGUACAC
Molecule: ribosomal RNA, 114 nt
Filed under: Flavobacterium psychrophilum
Lineage: Bacteria; Pseudomonadati; Bacteroidota; Flavobacteriia; Flavobacteriales; Flavobacteriaceae
Description: partial 23S ribosomal RNA
Rfam family: Bacterial large subunit ribosomal RNA
Source: RNAcentral